GCCGCUUUCGCUUCUCCUUCAUCGUCAUCUUGUUGCGGAGAUGCAACAGCUUCGUACCUCGACAAACUAUCUAAAAGCGUCGAAAUCCUUGGUCGUUUGUGAAGCUCAUCCUGUGCGCACAAGGAGAUAAAAGAUCAGAAAAGCCAGUGGAUAGAGCUGAAGUCAUUAACGAAACACUGACAAUUAACAGCGUGACAAUGAGGAACAUACAUCCGUAGGGCAAAGAAUAUUCUGAAAUUAGCAGCAGCAGUGGUAAUAUUUAGCAGCAGACACAGUUCAGCUCUUUUCUUGGUCUGCGGUUUAAAGCUCCACCCCGCUAAAUGUCUCUGGAUAGAUGUGUAAAAUGAAAAACAAACCUUGUGAUGUUGUCUUGAUUUCUCUCGCAUGUAAUAAAUGAAGCAACGAUUAGGACGGUAAGUAAAGCAAAUGAACAGAAAUUUAAAAAAUUAAUGAACGCAAAGAAGAAACUUUUUUUAGUGACAUGAAGAAUAGAAAUAAAGGGCUUAAAA
Pocillopora damicornis (cauliflower coral) is the source of this 509-nucleotide long non-coding RNA. NCBI's taxonomy places the organism in Eukaryota, Metazoa, Cnidaria, Anthozoa, Scleractinia, Pocilloporidae. The record is from RefSeq and is a predicted model, not a curated record.